UUACGGCCAUAUUAAUUGAGAAACACCGAUUCUCGCAUGAUCACUGAAGUAAAGCAACGUCGAACAUCGUCAGUAUCUAGAUGGAUGACCGCUUGGGAAUACCAGGUGCUGUAAG
Acanthosepion pharaonis is the source of this 115-nucleotide non-coding RNA. NCBI's taxonomy places the organism in Eukaryota, Metazoa, Mollusca, Cephalopoda, Sepiida, Sepiidae. The record is from the annotation of a GenBank genome assembly.